Arachis ipaensis is the source of this 1604-nucleotide non-coding RNA. Lineage: Eukaryota; Viridiplantae; Streptophyta; Magnoliopsida; Fabales; Fabaceae. The record is from RefSeq and is a predicted model, not a curated record.
GGCUUCACUCCACUUUUCAGUUUUCACUUUACACUGUGUUUUCCACGUUGUAACCGGCCAUUCCGGUAAACCUACCAACUCUCUGUCUCGACCCUUGUUCUCAUAAUCUCCUUAUCUAUCUAUCUUCCUAUAUUUUUCAUGUGUUCUUUCUCUGCAACCUACAUCACCACCCACUCAUCACUGAGUCACAUUCCCCCGAGUCAUGAACUUACUCCCCCUCAAUAUGUUACACAUAACAAAAGAAGAAUAGCCCUUUUUUUCUCAUUACAGAACCAUGAUUUUCCGUUUUGCCCCUCUCCGCAGUCUCUAUUCCUUGAUAUAUGCCAUCACACCAAAACCUUUAGUCGGAGGCAACCACACUUCAGCUCGAUUCUGCUCACGGUAAUAAAAUUCAAAUGAAAUAAAUACAAAACCCAUUUUUUUUCACAUUUUUUGUUUAAUAUUUUAUUUUUCCGAGGAAAAAAAACGAAGAAAAAAGUGCACAAUGGUUACACUGGAACAUACCGCAGGCAAAUCAAGCUCCUUCCGAAGCCUCUUGAUACGGUUGCUUCUCUUAGGCGUUUUCAUCAUCGGAGUUCGAUUUGCUUACGUCAUCGUUAUCGCCGGAGAAUCCUGCACCGUUGCCGAUUUCUGCUUCUCCUCGUUUCACGAGACUCUCAGCCUUGUCAUCGCUGGCGCCGGAGCUGCUGUCAAACCCCUCGCGGUUGAGUCCACCACAGCUGGCGGCGCCGCCUCCCCCGCACGGCCGGAGAUUUACACCAGCAAGGAAUGGACCAAUGCCGUUCGAUUCUACUCGUCAGUGUUAAAGCAUCUGAUUGCCGGCGGCUACCUCUCACCGGCGUCGAAGUCACUGUGCGUUGAAACUCCAACGGGACGCGACGUUUUCACGAUGAGAGAGAUUGGCGUCAAGAGCACCGUCGGAAUCUCUAGGAAGGCGGUGAAACCGCUGGUGAAGUCCGGCCGCGGUCACCGGAUUCCAUUCCCCACCAGAAGCUUUGACUUCAUUUUCUCAGGUGAGGGCUCGCUGGAGAGGUCGCCGUUUCCGGCGGAGUUCGCUGCGGAGGUCAGCUAAAACCAGAAACCAGAAGGGUUCGCGGUGUUCCAUUUGGUAAACCCUAAUGACACUUAUAUCUUCAAUUCGUUCCUUGAUUUGUUUAAUUCGUAUUAGUGAUGCUAUUCAUAAGUUAGUAAAAGUUGAUUAUUUUGGGGGUGGUAAAGAUGAUUCAAGUGACAAGUGUUAUGUUCCAGAGUAUAAGCAUAAUUUAGUUAAAAAUGCUGAGCCUUUGAUUUCUAUGGAGCCACUGAAACCGUGGAUAACUUUGAAGAGGAAUUUGAAGAACAUAAGGUACCUUUCUUCAAUGGUGGAUAUAAGCUUUAAGAGAAGGUAUGUGUACGUUGAUGUUGGAGCUAGAAGCUACGGUUCUACUAUAGGAUCUUGGUUUAGGAAACAAUACCCGAAGCAGAACAAGACCUUUCAUGUGUAUGCUAUGGCUUUUUUUUUCAGGCCUGCAGGAGGUUACAGCAGCAAUGAUGAAGCUGAUGCAUCUAAUGAUGAUAGAGUUGAACUUGAUAAAAGCAAUAUCCUUCUCAUGGGGCCAACAUGA